UCAAAGAGAGGUGAGAGUGAAUUAAGAAAAUCAGGUGCUGCUGCCCUAGAAUAUUUCUAUAUAAGUCAUGUUUCAUUCAUUUUUGAGGGCAGAGUCUAAGAAAUAAAAAAAGGGAAACGGCUGAGAUAUUCAUAGGUUGCAUAUAGAGAAUUCUCUUAGAUUUUCUCUUUUUGAAAGUUAAUUUUCAUGAUGGAUACACACAACUCAUAGAAGAAGGAUCAUAAGCUUCGUAGUAACAAGAUUCAAAGUUAUUUGGUUUUUUUCACUACUAUUUGAUUAUUUCCCGGGGAUUUUCUUGCAAGUUUUAAGCUGUGGGACUGCUAUUGAUUUGAUUAGAGUUUGCUGCUAUUAUUUGCUGAUUCCAGAAGAUUCUCUUUUUCUCAUUUUUUUUCGUUUGCUGCAACCAGGUACUCCUUUGAAUCCUGAAUGACAAAUGGAGCUUGAAUGUGUUUUGUGUGGAAGAUGUGUUUCUGCUGAAAUCAAUGAAGAUUGUUCUUGUUUGGACUUUAGUUUUCAUAUUUCCUUCUAAGCCAUUCAGCUUUCUCUUCAUUUCUUCCUUUUUAUUUCUUUCUUAUAUGUGAAAAUCUGUUGUGAUGGUCACUGGUUAGUGAAGUUAUUUAGUGACAAAUGUCUUAGUAGCUCAUACUGUAGGUAUUAAAUCUGUGUAAAAGUCCCAGAUAAAGUCAUAGUAUAAUCAGCUCGUUUAUCUAUUAUUCAUUGAAAUGGGGUGUUGACUAAUGUGUUGGCUUUGAGUUUGCUUGUCAAGUUUGAGGGAUUAAUUCUGGAGUCCCAGUUUUAUGUACUUUUAAAGAAAACUCCAUGUGAUUGCUAAAAUAAUGUCUAGAUGGGUCAUCUUAGAAGUCAAACAUUGAUGUGGUAGUUGAACAGCUGAUUUUGAUAUGAUUUAUUACUUGGUUAAAGUCAUUCGAAUUAUAAAAAUUCAAGCUAUUUGAUUUUUUAAUAUGCCACAGUACGUUCCUUGCUCAUGAAGAGAUUAACAUUGUAUUUUGUCAAUCACGUAUGUCUAUAGUCAUUCUGGUGAGUUAAACAUGGGAGUUGGUAUUCUUUGGUUUCCUUUUGGUGAGAUAUUCUACAUUGUAUCUGCUUUUGUUAAUAAUUAAUUGGAUCUAUGGAACAAGUAAAGUGCUGGGUGAACUUGUCUAAUAGUAGUAUCAUUUUGGGCCUUAGGAUUUGAAUGGGAGUUGGCCCCAAAGUCAAUAGACUAAAGAGGGUUUCAUUUUAGGGCCCAAUAACUACUACGUAAUUCUAGCUGAAAUCCUCCACUUAUGCCAUUUCAUAAUCGAUACUUCAAUAAUCUCGAAUUUAUUUAAGAGUGCAUGAAUCCCGUAGUUUGCUUUAAGUGCUUUUUAUUAAGCAAAGUGAGGUGUGUCAUAUCAAAUAAGACCUAUAAUUUAUGGCCCUCAUAAGACUAGAUCAAGAAAUCACUUGAAGAAAGAGAUUUGAGGCGUGCCAUAAGCAAGUUAAAUCAUCUAUGGCCCUCACAAAUGUUAUAAUUUAGAUAUUAAAAAUGAACUUCAUAGUUUACUUUAGGCGCGUUAAUUAUAUAAUUAUCAUUGCUAAUACUAAAAUCCAGGUGUACAUUUCAUGUUACCCGAUUCUAAUUUCCAACAAGGUUAAAUAGAACAUGUCAUGAAUUACGGGUGUAUUUCAUGUAGCGUGGCUUGCGAUGUGUUUUAAAUAACCUUGAAAUAAUUCCUUAAAUAAAUAAAAGCGGUUUUUUUAAAGUUAAAAAUGCACAUAGGUUUAAAAGUGUUUUAAAAUCAAAUAAUUAGGCCGAUAAUAAUAGUUUAGUGACCAUGCUAGAACCACGGAACCUAGGAAUGCCUAACAGCUUCUCCCGGGUUAACUGAAUUCAUUACCCAGAUUUCUGUAUUCGCGGACUAUAAAUAGAGUCAAUCUUUCCUCUAUUCGGGUUCUGAACCAGUGACUUUGGACACUAUAAAUUAUCCCAAGUGGCGACUCUGAAUAAUAAAUAAAUAAAUCUCGUUUCGAUUGUCACUUAAAUUGGAAAAAAUUCCCUUAUACCCUUCCCGGAGUAGUAAAAAGGAGGUGUGAUAGAGCCGAUUAUGGAACUUUAGAACAAGAUAAGUCUCCUGUCUAACUGUGUGAGCCGGAACUACCCCUAGGUAAUGUGUUUGAUAUAUGCUACUUUUUUGCGGGAGCUACGUACGCACGAGGUGAUGAGAGUUUGUACGUAGCUAGAUUCAUGAUAUGUCUAUGUAGACUUAGGUUUACGCCAUGCUAUAACUGCACUAUUUGAGUUGUUCCUUGCCUAUUAAAUUCAUUUAUUUUACAUUAAAACUUGAGACUAGAAUUUCUAGAGUGAUAGACUUGCUAUAGUGAAGAUUUGACGAGCUUCAUGAUUAGUUGCGGAAUAAAUGUGCUCCUCUUACGAAUUACUCCCGCGUUAUGUGUUUUCAUCAAUAAGCUUCCUUAAAGGUCAUAACUCACAUGUUUAUUUGUGAGUGGGGUCAAGAACCCGUUAAACCUUCUUAUUCUAAUAGGAUCGGGUCGUUCGCCCAGGUAGUAUAACGGAUACAUCUAUGGUUCAUGUUGUUCGGCCCUCGAGAGUUUGCACAUUAUGAUGGGAUUAGGCCGUUCGUCUCGGCAGGAUUAUGUACCAUACUCUCAUAGGAACGGGCCAUUCGCCUCGAUAGUAUAAUAGAUGUAUCUAUAGUUCGUGUCAUUCGACCCUCCAUAGUGCAUAGAUUAUGAUGGAAUCGGGACGUACGCCUUGGAAUUUCUACAAAAUACUCCUAUGGAAUCAUGCGUAAUAUUUGUCAAGAAACCAGUGUAUCUGGGAAUUCUUGAUUUGACUCAUGACGAUCUAUCUGGUGAGGUCCAAUAUAUAUAUAAUCCGGUAGAGGAGGUAACUGCUAAUUGAGAGAUUAAGCUUAUGGUUGAGAGGAGGAUUGUACCACGUAUUUAUGCUUGUUUAUUUUGUUUAUUUACUAUGCCCCAUAUCUGUUUACUUCUUACUAUAUCUGUCUUAUUGGACCACUAGUAAGUGUCGAUGCCGCACCCCUCGUUACUACUUCUCUAGGGUUGGGCUAGAUACUUAUCGGUAACACGUUGAUAUACAUACUCAUGAUGCACUUACUGCACUUAUUGUGCAGGUAUACAUAUAUAUUUCUGGUGGUCCUCUAGGUAUAGAGGCACGGCUAUUGUGGGAACUUUACAGUGAGCUCCACUUCUUUGUUACGAUCCGCAUCAUACAGAGUCUCCAUCAGAGUUAUUUAUAUUUUCCGUCUAACUUGUAUUUGAGACGGAGGUUGUAUUAUUAUAAAUAGAUGCUCAUGCACUUCUGACACCGGGUUUUUGGGGUUCCUACUAGAUGUUUAGUAUGGUAGUUCUUGUAGUUAUUAUCAUUUCACCCUGUAAAUUCUCUUUUAUACUGUAAAUUAAUGGAAAUUAUGAU
RNAcentral lists this long non-coding RNA (3439 nucleotides) under Nicotiana tabacum (common tobacco). RNAcentral's name for it is "long non-coding RNA (NTAB_LNC013909)". The record is from RNAcentral. Lineage: Eukaryota; Viridiplantae; Streptophyta; Magnoliopsida; Solanales; Solanaceae.